This is a long non-coding RNA of Sinocyclocheilus grahami, 319 nucleotides long. RefSeq lists it as uncharacterized. The transcript has 4 exons. NCBI's taxonomy places the organism in Eukaryota, Metazoa, Chordata, Actinopteri, Cypriniformes, Cyprinidae. The record is from RefSeq and is a predicted model, not a curated record.
GCACCAGCAGUUUCAGAACCGCAGUCACAGAACCGCAGCCACAGAACCGGAAGUGAGUGGCGGAGUUAUUGACAACGAGAGAGCACGUGUGACAUUCCAAUCAUACGGAGAUGGUGGACUCCAGAUGGUUUUCUCUGAAAGUGCAGAAACCCUACAAGAGGCCCUUCCAAUUGGAUAACAGGCUACGCUUGUGAGGAGAUCCCAGUAAUCUCACAGAAGUUGUGAAAUGGCUCCAUUAAACAGACAUCUGCUCAGGGGGCCAGUGGAAGAGCCUCUUUUCCUUAUAAUGGAGGAAGAGGACAAGGAAAAGGCCCUCAAC